RNAcentral lists this ribosomal RNA (448 nucleotides) under uncultured bacterium. RNAcentral describes it as "bacterial SSU rRNA". It matches the Rfam family "Bacterial small subunit ribosomal RNA", at positions 26 to 507 of the family's 1533-position model. The record is from RNAcentral.
AGGAUGAACGCUGGCGGUAUGCCUAACACAUGCAAGUCGUACGAGAGUUUUUAAUUCUAGUGGCGGACGGGUGAGUAACACGUGAGAAUUUACCUUUAGGAGGGGGGAUAACAAUUGGAAACGAAUGCUAAUACCCCAUAUGCUUUUGAGUGAAAUGGAUUUAUAAUUAUCCGCCUAAAGAAAAGCUCGCGGCUGAUUAGCUUGUUGGUAAGGUAAGAGCUUACCAAGGCGACGAUCAGUAUCUGGUUUGAGAGGACGAUCAGACACACUGGAACUGAGACACGGUCCAGACUCCUACGGGAGGCAGCAGUGGGGAAUUUUCCGCAAUGGGCGAAAGCCUGACGGAGCAAUACCGCGUGAGGGAAGACUGCCUAUGGGUUGUAAACCUCUUUUUCAGGGAGGAAUAAAAUGACGUGUACCUGAAGAAUAAGCACCGGCUAACUACGUG